AUUGAACGCUGGCGGCAGGCCUAACACAUGCAAGUCGAGCGGAUGAAGGGAGCUUGCUCCUGGAUUCAGCGGCGGACGGGUGAGUAAUGCCUAGGAAUCUGCCUGGUAGUGGGGGAUAACGUCCGGAAACGGGCGCUAAUACCGCAUACGUCCUGAGGGAGAAAGUGGGGGAUCUUCGGACCUCACGCUAUCAGAUGAGCCUAGGUCGGAUUAGCUAGUUGGUGGGGUAAAGGCCUACCAAGGCGACGAUCCGUAACUGGUCUGAGAGGAUGAUCCGUCACACUGGAACUGAGACACGGUCUAGACUCCUACGGGAGGCAGCAGUGGGGAAUAUUGGGCAAUGGGCGAAAGCCUGAUCCAGCCAUGCCGCGUGUGUGAAGAAGGUCUUCGGAUUGUAAAGCACUUUAAGUUGGGAGGAAGGGCAGUAAGUUAAUACCUUGCUGUUUUGACGUUACCAACAGAAUAAGCACCGGCUAACUUCGUG
RNAcentral lists this ribosomal RNA (484 nucleotides) under uncultured bacterium. Its description in RNAcentral is "partial 16S ribosomal RNA". It matches the Rfam family "Bacterial small subunit ribosomal RNA", at positions 30 to 507 of the family's 1533-position model. The record is from RNAcentral.